UUCGUAGACGGUACAGUAAGUUAUUUGUUAAAUAUUAAAGCCUAACUUUAAAAAAACAUUUAAAACUGCUUUACUUUGAGUUUUAAACAGAAGAGUAGAAUUUUAUAAGAAGGGAUAAAAUCUGAAAAUAUGUAAAGGAAUAUCGAUAGUGAAGACAACUCUUUAGUAAAAACUGACGUUGAGGGACGAAAGUGUAGGGAGCAAAUA
RNAcentral lists this ribosomal RNA (207 nucleotides) under uncultured bacterium. RNAcentral's name for it is "partial 16S ribosomal RNA". It matches the Rfam family "Bacterial small subunit ribosomal RNA", at positions 568 to 774 of the family's 1533-position model. The record is from RNAcentral.